Molecule: small nucleolar RNA, 143 nt
Filed under: Rhinolophus ferrumequinum (greater horseshoe bat)
Lineage: Eukaryota; Metazoa; Chordata; Mammalia; Chiroptera; Rhinolophidae
Source: RNAcentral
CUUCAGUGAUGACACGAUGACGAGUCAGAAAGGUCACAUCCUGCUCUUGGCCCUUGUCGGCGCCACGUUCUGUGGCACUGCAUGGGUUCCUUUUGCAAAAGUGUCCUGUCCAUUGAUUGAUUAGAGGCAUUUGUCUGAGAAGG